Molecule: transfer RNA, 72 nt
Filed under: Caudoviricetes sp.
Lineage: Duplodnaviria; Heunggongvirae; Uroviricota; Caudoviricetes
Description: tRNA-Met
Rfam family: tRNA
About the family: Transfer RNA (tRNA) molecules are approximately 80 nucleotides in length. Their secondary structure includes four short double-helical elements and three loops (D, anti-codon, and T loops).
Source: RNAcentral
UUCCUUAGCUCAGUCGGUUAGAGCACCUGACUCAUAAUCAGGGAGUCCUUGGUUCAAGCCCAAGUGGGACCA